Molecule: ribosomal RNA, 382 nt
Filed under: uncultured eukaryote
Lineage: Eukaryota
Description: partial 18S ribosomal RNA
Rfam family: Eukaryotic small subunit ribosomal RNA
Source: RNAcentral
UGUAAGCGUAUACCAAAGUUGUUGCAGUUAAAACGCUCGUAGUCGGACUUUGGCAGUUCCGGAUGUGUGCACGUCGUGUGCGCACUUCGCGGGGAUUGCUUUUGUGGUCUUGCGUAGGAUGAGGCACUUUUAUUAGUGAACGUCCUCACGCAACCACUUUUUACUGUGAGAAAAUCAGAGUGCUCAAAGCAGGCAUUUGCCGUGAAUGUAUUAGCAUGGAAUAAUAGAAUAGGACUUGGUUCUAUUUUGUUGGUUUGUUGGGACUGAGUAGUGAUUAAGAGGGACAGUUGGGGGCAUUUGUAUUUCGGUGCUAGAGGUGAAAUUCUUAGAUUACCGAAAGACAAACUGCUGCGAAAGCGUCUGCCAAGGAUGUUUUCAUUGA